Molecule: ribosomal RNA, 471 nt
Filed under: Streptococcus mitis
Lineage: Bacteria; Bacillati; Bacillota; Bacilli; Lactobacillales; Streptococcaceae
Description: bacterial SSU rRNA
Rfam family: Bacterial small subunit ribosomal RNA
Source: RNAcentral
GACGAACGCUGGCGGCGUGCCUAAUACAUGCAAGUAGAACGCUGAAGGAGGAGCUUGCUUCUCUGGAUGAGUUGCGAACGGGUGAGUAACGCGUAGGUAACCUGCCUGGUAGCGGGGGAUAACUAUUGGAAACGAUAGCUAAUACCGCAUAACAGUAGAUGUUGCAUGACAUUUGCUUAAAAGGUGCAAUUGCAUCACUACCAGAUGGACCUGCGUUGUAUUAGCUAGUUGGUGGGGUAACGGCUCACCAAGGCGACGAUACAUAGCCGACCUGAGAGGGUGGUCGGCCACACUGGGACUGAGACACGGCCCAGACUCCUACGGGAGGCAGCAGUAGGGAAUCUUCGGCAAUGGACGGAAGUCUGACCGAGCAACGCCGCGUGAGUGAAGAAGGUUUUCGGAUCGUAAAGCUCUGUUGUAAGAGAAGAACGAGUGUGAGAGUGGAAAGUUCACACUGUGACGUAUCUACCA